Molecule: long non-coding RNA, 1680 nt
Filed under: Anas platyrhynchos platyrhynchos (common mallard)
Lineage: Eukaryota; Metazoa; Chordata; Aves; Anseriformes; Anatidae
Description: lncRNA (ENSAPLG00000023221.1)
Source: RNAcentral
AUGGUCCCAUCAGUGGGCGAAAACUUCCCCCGUGGUCCCAAAGUCAACGUGAGAAACGCAAAUAAAUCCCAAAGGAAGGGGAAGGAGGAUGGAAAACACCACCCAAAGUACCCGAAACCACCCCAGAAAGCAGCCCCCAGCCCUCAGCACCCCGAGCAGGGUGGGGGGGCUCUCCCUGCGGGGGAAGGAGGUUGUGCAGGGAAUAAUUUGGGGGAAAGGAGGGUGCUUCAGCCCCAAGGUGCACACACAAGGAGGGGGCACGGGGAGCUCCCUGCUCCCGUCAGGACCCCUCACUGCAGCUCCAGGGGGGCUGAGCCCCCUUCCCCUGCCCAUGGCACGAAACAAACUGGGGGUACCCAAACCCAGCCCGGCAGCAGAUUUUGGGGCUGCGCCUCCACCCCGAGCUUCCCCAGCCCCUUCUCCCUUCCAGCACCCCGAGGGGGCUCCGGGGGGGGCUUCCAGGGACCCCAGGAGCGGGGCCGUGCAGCGGGGCCGGGGCCAAUCCUGCUCGCUCCGGAGCCGGGAUGCGCCCGGGCGCAGCGGGUUUGUCCCGGUACAAGCGCUCCUCCCGCUCGGAGCGGACGAGAAGCGGGGUACCGGGACCUUCCCCGGCCCCAACCCCAUCCCCAGCCCCCCCGGGACAGGAUGAGACCCGCUCCGGGGGCUGCGCUCCGGGGGCUGCACCGGCUCCCACCGGCUCCCACCUCUGCUCCGGGGGGGAGCGCACGGACAAAGGCCGGUCCCGGGGCCGGUCCCCCCCGCUCCCCCCGGGGUCGCCUCCGCUCCCGAGGCGCAGAAACGGUCCCGGGGAGCCCCGGGAUGGGGGGGGCGCAGCCUCGCAGCCCCGGCACGCAGCGGGAGGGAGCUCGGCACCGGCACGCCCGGUGGCGGCGGUGUCCCCAAGCCCCCGGCGCGGUGUCCCCGACCGGUGCCGUGCCCGUGUCCCCCCUCCUCGACCUCCGGUGCCUCCCCCCCCAGGCGCGGUGUCCCCCUGUCCCCGCUGUCCCCCUGUCCCCGGGCUCUGUGUCCCCCUGUCCCAGCCGUCGGGGGUUUUCGGGGCGGCGGCGGCUCCUCUCCCACCGGCAUCCCGGAGCCCCCCCCCGGUCGCCCACCUCUCCGACGGCCCCCCCUCAGCCUCCCCCCGCCACAUCCUCACCCCCCAUCCCGCCCCCCCCCCCAAUUGGGGUCCCCCAACCCCUUUUGCCCCCCCUCCCCCCCCCGCCCCCGGGGCGGAAACAUGGCCCGGGGGGGGGGGCAAAGGGGUGCAGGGGGGUCACCCCAACCCUAAGGCUACCGGGGACAGGGGGGGGGGACAUCCCGGGGCGGCGGCACUCACCGUCCUGGGGCGCUGCUUCGCUGCCGCUGCUGCCUCCCGACGGCUCCGGCAUCGCCUUGCCGCCCCCGGCGGGUGGGGGGCCGGCUGGGGGGGUCCCGUUCAUGCCGGCCGCCACCUCCUCCAGGUCGAGGAGGUGGCUGACGCUGAAGUUUUUCCGGCCCUGGGGGUUUUCGGGAGGCUCCGGAGCGCGCACGGUGCCGGGGGCGAACGGCUUGUCCAUGGCGAAGGCUGGCGCCGAGUCCAUGGCUCCCCCCCCCCAGCCCACCCCGAGGUGCCGGGCCGCUCCCCGGCCCCUUCCCCUUCUCCACCCUCCCCCCCCCUCCCCAACCCCUUCAAGUAAAUAA